This is a non-coding RNA of Schistosoma mansoni, 45 nucleotides long. Lineage: Eukaryota; Metazoa; Platyhelminthes; Trematoda; Strigeidida; Schistosomatidae. The record is from Rfam.
AUCCAGCUGACGAGUCUCAGAUAUGACGAAUCGUGCGUCCUGGAU